GCCAGAUGAAGGGUAGCAGGGCUGGCCGCAUUGAGGAAGCAGGGAAGAUCACUGGCCAAUUUCUACCUGCAGACACCGCACGCUUUCCCGAUGGAUGCAAAGAGCAUCGCAGUCGUGUGCCUGUGAUACCGGUUCCAGUUCCCGUUUGAAAAAGAAGAUCCUAGACAAGGAGCAAAAUAUAUUUGCGUGCACCGAGAGUCCUGUCACUCUUUGUUCAACAGCUUGCACACGCUGGCACUGCCCCCAACAUCCAUCCCAUCUACCCCCUCUGUGAUGCAACAUACGGCUUAG
Delphinapterus leucas (beluga whale) is the source of this 291-nucleotide non-coding RNA. The record is from RefSeq and is a predicted model, not a curated record. NCBI's taxonomy places the organism in Eukaryota, Metazoa, Chordata, Mammalia, Artiodactyla, Monodontidae.